This 274-nucleotide ribosomal RNA is filed under the name uncultured bacterium. RNAcentral's name for it is "partial 16S ribosomal RNA". It matches the Rfam family "Bacterial small subunit ribosomal RNA", at positions 523 to 796 of the family's 1533-position model. The record is from RNAcentral.
AUACGGAGGUUGCAAGCGUUAUUCGGAAUCACUGGGCGUAAAGGACGCGUAGGCGGGUUGGCAAGUCAGAUGUGAAAUCCUACAGCUUAACUGUAGAACUGCAUUUGAAACUGCUAACCUAGAGUAUGGGAGGGGGAGAUGGAAUUAGUGGUGUAGGGGUAAGAUCCGUAGAUAUCACUAGGAAUACCGAAAGCGAAGGCGAUCUCCUGGAACAUAACUGACGCUAAGGCGUGAAAGCGUGGGGAGCAAACAGGGUUAGAUACCCUAGUAGUCC